This is a long non-coding RNA of Acanthopagrus latus (yellowfin seabream), 399 nucleotides long. RefSeq lists it as uncharacterized. NCBI's taxonomy places the organism in Eukaryota, Metazoa, Chordata, Actinopteri, Spariformes, Sparidae. The transcript is spliced from 2 exons. The record is from RefSeq and is a predicted model, not a curated record.
GCUGAAUCCCUGUGAAUGAAAGGGUAAGAGCUGCUAGUUUGUUUCUGCUCAUGAAUUAGCAGCCAGGUCAGGGUGAACAUCAGCGUGUAGGCUGCUAGCUUGGAGGCUGUCGUUUCUUGUAGUGACGCAGACUUGACACUAACAGCGGAAGCGAGGAGAAAUGCGUGAAAAAGCCGCCCAAUGGCAGGAAGAUGACCACCGUCUACAUCUGUUGUGCGGCAGUUGACAUGCUUUUGGAGCGAUGUGCUGAAGACUGACAAAAGCUCAGCCAGUGGUUACAGCAACUACAACAGGCUCUGUCCACUUUUGUUGUGGGUAUGCAUGUUCUUCCCUGUGUUGGUGUCGAAAUACUGCAAGUUUUCCAUGAACUGGCAAUAAAAAUCUUUAAAGUUUGGUGUA